UCAGACAGUCAUGCAGGUGUGCAUAAUGACUUGGCAAGUUCGGUUAUCUGUAUCCCCAUCAUAUCGCCCAAGAGCGCUUAACCCAUCACGCAGAUAUUAUACAUCAUCGAAGUAAGGAGUAAGCGGAAAGGAUUACAAUAACAAAAUUUACAUUCAUAAGAAAAAUAUAGAAAGAGUGAUUAUUACAUAUCCGGGUACUUGAGUGCGUAAACUUAUUAUUACAUCACAGGAAGGCAAAACAUCUUCCCUAAAUAAGUCUUAGUUUUCAUCCUCCUGCUUGGGAACCACCUUGGAACAGAAACAACAGAACUUGGCUGUUUCAUCACCUACAACAACAUGGGUUUGAAAACCCUGAGUACGGAGUGUACUUUUGCAAGUAUUACCUAUCAAAGAAAAAAGACUCUCAAGGAUAUGCUGGCUUUUGGGAAUCAAGGUAAAGCUUAUCAAGAUUCAAAGACUCUCUUUGCAGAAAAGCUUACUAUGAGUGGAUCCUUAAAAAUCCAUUUUACUUAGCAGGUUAAGUAGUUACUUACAUCUAGAUUUCCUUCUAUUCUAGAUCAAGCACUUGGCCUAUACUAGCCGUCUUUUAUCAUACUUCAGUUCACUUGAUGCUACGUGUAAGUCAGUGACCAAGUCUUCAUGUCCAAGAAGUAAUGGCGAUCCGAAUCGAUUAAUACCUAGCUGGGGAGCUCCAACCACACGACAUAUGUAGCACUUAACCUUUGCAUAUGUCAACUCACACCUGGGUUUCUCAAGACCAGAAUGGGUUCACGCCAACCGAGAGCACAAAUACUCCACCGUCCAGCCUCUUGCCACGGAGGGUACACGCUACUCUCGACAUCUCUCCACUCCCAUUGCGUGGUGGCCUUUCUGGUAUUGGUACGGCCGAGGCAAAGCUUACCCAUGACGAGGCAUGUGGCCAGUUAAAAGGUCCUCGAUCAGCAGGCUACAUCGGCUCGGUCCUUAAGCGACUUAGACGGAGACACUACACCGAGACUCUCUUCUCGUGCAAGUCACCCACCCAGUCUUGUCUUUAUCAUUUAAAACUCAAAGUUUGGUACCUGACAGAGGUACUCUUUUCAGAUGUUGAACCCAUCACGGCCAUGAUGGAUUCACCAUCAUAAUUCUUUUCUUUGUAAAAUUUCCCAUCCAAUAUGAAGCAUCACCUUUUGUUUUAAAACAAAACAUUUUGUUUUCUAAAGCCAGACUAAGCAUCAUAAAACUCGUUUGAAUAAAUCAGGGAACAAGGAAUGGUAACCAAUUUUCCAAGGAAGGGAAUGCAUCAAUUGUUUAGCACACAACUCCUAUCACCUAAAGCAUCAUGCAAGGUGAUAAAGUUUUUUUAAAACAACAAGGAAAGGGAUAAUGCACCGGGGCUUGCCUUGUGUUGUAGGAGGUUCUGGUUCCACACCGCAGAGGUCGAAGUAAAAGUUGGUUUCUGCUGGAGGAUGUUCAGUCUGGGAGAUAACCUCGUCUUCCACAACGAUUUCUUCCUCGUGUUCUAUACAUGAUAAUACAUGUACGUGAAUGCUUAUGCCAUGCCAUGAAUAUGCAAUUACAAAAUAAAAUAUAAUAAGUUGCAUCUUGAAUACAGCUUUACUUCAUAGUAUAACUAAUCACUAAGGUUUUCUAAUUAGGUAUUCCUUUAGGAUUAGUACUUAGUAAUUAAUCUUAUGAGGCUAGUUAUUGGGUUUCUAGUUAAGCAGUGUCCAAAUGAUUUCAAACUUCACCCAAGGUCUUCAAUCAUUAUAUUAAGCUUACCCAAAAAGUUUUAUCAUUUUUGGAAUUACUAAAUUAUUUCUAAAAUUCUAAAAGACUUUAUCUAGGCAUCUUUAAGUGCUACAUAAUUUUAGGCUAGAACUAAAAAUCUUGGGAAUAUUCUUAUUAAAUACUUUUGGAGUCUAGACGUCUAACAAAAAAUGGUUUCAUAAUUUUACCAUUUUUAUACUAUUUUCUACAGAUUUCACAAGUUAUUAGGAAAAGGAAAAAUGAUGAACAUGGUUGGGCCGAAUUCAGUCCAAGUCAACCCGCGAACAGGGGAAACGUACGCGUGCCCGCACCCGCAUUGUUCAGUUUGUGUCAGAGUCCCUAGGGUUUCAAACCAUUAUGAAACGCCCUUUGAUACUAUCCUUAUGUGCCACUGAAAUUACAUUUGAACCCUUUUCCUUUACUUCAUUUACAACCGCAAGUCCUCGAAGAGCGCCGCGUCGAGCACAUGGCUGGUGCCAUAAGAAAUUACUGCCCGCAGCCCUCUCCCGAAGUGACGAGCCCUCCGGCUCUUUUGUCUAGGCUUUACCGACCACAACCCCACAAACAAUCGAAUUAACAUGACUUACGAUCUAGGCUAUGGUGGACACCGAGGUUUUGCCAGGCUUGCGUCCGAAACUACAACGCGAUAGAAUAUAAUUGGUAGGCACGACGAGUAUCAGGAACUCACCAGGAACCUGGAACGGCAGUGGGACGGCCUGGACGAAGAACAGAGAGAACGAUCCACUUGGAGAUGUUUGAUGACGGGGUGCUUCGGCGUCGAAGGGCUGUUCCGAUGACUCAACUGCAGUAGCGAUGAAGCAAACAGGUCGAUGAGCUUCCAUAGCAGCUGAGGGAUUUUGAACACAGCACUAAUAACAUAACACUACUCCUAGCCGACCUGACCAUGGAGGCACUCAUCACCGUGGAGCCGGGAAUGGCAGAGGAGAAGACGACACUUCUCAGGUUGCCCAGAAAGUUUAAUUGGUCGCUAGCUUCUACGGCGUGCAAAGCAGCAAGAAAAACAGUACUCGGCUCGCAUUAUAUAAUGACUAGGGAGACUGUCUG
Molecule: long non-coding RNA, 2814 nt
Filed under: Zea mays
Lineage: Eukaryota; Viridiplantae; Streptophyta; Magnoliopsida; Poales; Poaceae
Description: long non-coding RNA (ZMAY_LNC002579)
Source: RNAcentral